AAGGAGAAGGAGAAGAAGGAGAAGAAGGAGAAGCAGGAGAAGAAGAAGAAGCAGAAGAAGAAGAAGAAGAAGAAGAAGAAGAAGAAGAAGAAGAAGAACAAGCAGAAGGAGAAGCAGAAGGAGAAGAAGAAGCGGAAGCAUAAGCAGAAGCAGAAGCAGAAGCAGAAGAAGAAUAAUAAUAAUAAUAAUAAUAAUAAUAAUAAUAAUAAUAAUAAUAAUN
Molecule: long non-coding RNA, 220 nt
Filed under: Hordeum vulgare
Lineage: Eukaryota; Viridiplantae; Streptophyta; Magnoliopsida; Poales; Poaceae
Description: long non-coding RNA (HVUL_LNC015240)
Source: RNAcentral